UACAGAGGUCCCGAGCGUUGUUCGGAUUCAUUGGGCGUAAAGGGUGCGCAGGCGGUUGGGUGUGUCAGAUGUGAAAUCCCGAGGCUCAACCUCGGAACUGCGUCUGAAACUACUCGACUAGAGUACUGGAGAGGGUAACGGAAUUCACGGUGUAGCAGUGAAAUGCGUAGAUAUCGUGAGGAACACCAGAGGCGAAGGCGGUUACCUGGACAGUUACUGACGCUCAGGCACGAAAGCAUGGGGAGCAAAAGGG
RNAcentral lists this ribosomal RNA (253 nucleotides) under uncultured bacterium. Its description in RNAcentral is "partial 16S ribosomal RNA". It matches the Rfam family "Bacterial small subunit ribosomal RNA", at positions 524 to 776 of the family's 1533-position model. The record is from RNAcentral.